GAUGAACGCUGGCGGCGUGCUUAACACAUGCAAGUCGAACGGUGCAGCGCCUUCCUUUUUGGUCGGUGUGGUAGCGUGGCGAAAGGGUGCGUAACACGUGAGUAACCUGCUCCCUUCUUCUGGCUAACCGCAUGAAAGUUUGGCUAAUACCGGCUAAUCUGGGUGUGUCGUAUGUUGGGUCUGGGAGAGCUUUUGUUUCGGUUGGCGAUGGGCUCGCGUCGUAUCAGCUUAUUGGGGUGGUGAGGGCCUACCCAGGCGGGGAGGGGUAGCCAGCCGGAGAGGGUGAGCGGGCACGCGGGGACGAUGAGACAGACGGGGCCCGUGCGGGGGGCAGCAGUGGGGAAUAAUGCACAAGGGGCGCAAGCCUGAUGCAGCAACGCGGCGUUGAUGAUGGAGUCCUGCGGGUAGUGAACCGCUUUCGCGAGUGAAACGUGCCUGCCGCGUUUGAGGAUGGGUUGACGGUAGCUAGAGAAGAAGCGCCGGCUAAAUACGUG
RNAcentral lists this ribosomal RNA (494 nucleotides) under uncultured bacterium. RNAcentral describes it as "partial 16S ribosomal RNA". It matches the Rfam family "Bacterial small subunit ribosomal RNA", at positions 28 to 507 of the family's 1533-position model. The record is from RNAcentral.